GCGCUGGUAGCUCAGUUGGUUAGAGCGGACCGCUCAUAACGGUUUGGUCGUGGGUUCAAGUCCCUCCCGGCGCA
This 74-nucleotide transfer RNA is filed under the name Acetobacter malorum DSM 14337. Its description in RNAcentral is "tRNA-Met". It matches the Rfam family "tRNA". From Rfam's summary of the family: Transfer RNA (tRNA) molecules are approximately 80 nucleotides in length. Their secondary structure includes four short double-helical elements and three loops (D, anti-codon, and T loops). Lineage: Bacteria; Pseudomonadati; Pseudomonadota; Alphaproteobacteria; Acetobacterales; Acetobacteraceae. The record is from RNAcentral.